UGAAAUCUGACGAUGUAAUAAUCUUUACCAUAAGUAGCAAGGACAAAGUCAACAUAACUACCCAAUGGGCUCCAAGGAAUAAACUGAACGCUAAAGUUAAUCAUGGCUUUGAUUCUGUCUGGCCUGAACAAAGCAAAGUACCAGGCCGUGUAUGCACCAAGAUCAUGGCCCACCACAAACACCUUCUCCCCCGGUGCGAUGGCAUCCAGCAGCGCCACCACAUCACCCACAAUGUGCAUGACCGAGGACUUGGAUGGGUCGUCGUUGUUUGCACCGGUGGUGUCGCCGUAACCGCGUAGGUCGGGAGCCACCGCCCGGUAGCCGCGGGAAGCCAUGAAAGGGAUCUGGUGGCGCCACGUGUACCACAACCCCGGGAAGCCGUGGAGGAAUAAGACUAACGGGCCAUCACCUUGUUCCGCAACGUGCAUGUUUAGCCCAUUAACACUUACCAUCUUGUGCUUUAUUCCCACCAUAUUUUGUUUCUGUAUGCCUGCCUCUCUUUUUUCUUAUAAGUUAAUUUGUGUAUAUAUAUAAUCUAUUCUAUUCUUGCUUGAUCUUGUGGGUACAAUUGGCUGCUUAUAUCUUUCUUAUAUAGGCACGGAGAUAUAAUUAUUUAUUGUUAUAAAUGAAAUAAAAUAAUGAAAAUUAAGGAGCUAGAAAAGUUGAUGCAAAAUUGCAUACAAUAAUGUAAACUUAUACCUUCCGAACUAAAGCCUUGACAAGUUCUCUACAAUUAAUCUAUAUGCAUAUUCAUUCACAUGUUUAGAACAUUGUUUUAAUAAAAGUACAUGUUUGGAUAAUAUCUAAAUUAAUAUUUUAGUCUUUUAUAUAAGGCUGAAAAAUGAGUAUACAAUUCGAGCUCAAUUCGUACUCGUUCGAUUAAAAGUUUAAUUCAAGUCCGACUCAAAAUAUAAAUGAUUUAAAUAUGAGCAAAUUUUAAAAUUCGAUAAAUUAAUCAAACCUUCUCAAAGUGCAAUUUUUUUAUUGAUACUCAGAUCAUAUUAGUUUCAAAAGUUCAAAUUGCUUGGAAUUAAUUUGAGAUCGUGUUCGACUCGGUAGCUAAACGAUUCUCAAUCAAACCUUAUUUCAUACUCAAUAAAUGUUGUAAAACAAAUCUGAGCAACUCUCAUUUACACCCUUACUUUUAUAUACGACAUUCUUAAAUUAAAUACAAUUUUCCCCUUUUUCCUAAUUCAAAAAGUAGAUUAAUUUUAAAUUAUAAAAUAAUAUUUAUAAUGAGAAUUAUUGUUGUUUGCAAAACAAAAAUUCAGUAAUAUCAACAAGAGUAUUUUAUCCAUAAAGUAAAAUACAUUGACACCUCCUGUAGAUAACCAUAUAUAAUAAUACUCAUCACCUUUUAAUUUAUCAAGUAACAGUCAGUACCUCUCUAGUUUAUAAUAUGUAACAUUCACUACUUUUAUUGUGGAAGAUCAACUAAUAUUCAAAUUUUUUUUAAUAUAAUAACUAAUAUACCCUUCAAGUUAUAAUUAAUGUUUAAUAUAUCCACUAAAUAUAAAUUUGUAUGUUAUAAUUUUUACUUAACUUGAUCUAAUUAAUUAAAUUAUAAAUUUGUGCAUUAAUAAAUAACAUAUUUCUCAAAAAAUAAUAAAUAUUUAUUUUAUCAAGAAAAUAAAAACAUACACUUUUUGGUAAUUAAAUUUCUUAACGAUUAAAUUUACGUAAUAUACAUUCAAAUAUAUUUUUUCUAAUUUAAAAAGUAAAAUUUUAAUAAGCAUAAAAGUAUAUAUUAAUGCAAAUAUAAUUAUUUUUCCCAAAUAUUAAAAUUUAUGUAAAAUAAACUUAUUAUUACAUAACGAAUCUUAUUAUUCAUAUAAAAAAGUAUUAAAAAUUAUAUUAAUUAUUUUCUCAAAUAUUAAACUAAACAUAAGUAUCUCUUAAGCAUAAAUAUUUACAAUAAAAAUGACAAAUGUUAUUACUCAAAAAAGAAAAAAUACAUUAAACAAAAUCUUUUAAUAAGAUAGAUGUAGUAAUAAAUAUUAUUAUAUUUUCUUUUAUUCAAUAUCGUAUAAAAAUAACACCAACUGUAUACUUAAAAAUGUAAUUAAAAUCAUAAACAUCCGAAAUUUUGACAUAUACUCAAGAAAUUUAACAUAUAAAAAUCAUAAUAUGAAACUAAUUAAGAAUUCAAAUAAUAAUUUUGUUGUUAAACACCAAAAACUAAACUAUCAACAUACUAAAUCACUUUGAUUAGAAAACUUCCAUUAAUAAUUUAAUUUAAAAUUCUUAAUAUUUGUAUCACUUAUCCAAAAAUAUGUGUUAAUUAAAUUAAAUUAUUUGAAUGAGAUAGUCUUAAGUACAAAUAAAACUAUAAUGAAAAUGUAUUGUAUUAAAUAAAGAUAAUUAAACAUAUAUAUAUAUAUAUAUGUUAUUUAGAAAUUAAAAUUUGAUAACAUACAAGAGUAAAUAUGUAAUUUUAUCUAUUUAGUCAACCCUAAAAACUUGAAAGGUACUAACUGUUACGUAAAAAACUAGAGAGGAAGUGAUUGUUAUUAUGAUUAUCUAGAAAAUGUAAUUAAAAUCAUAAACAUUCGAAAUUUUGACAUAUAAUCAAGAAAAUUUAACAUAUAAAAAUCAAACUAAUUAAGAAUUCAAAUAAUAACUUUUAUUGUUAAACACUAAAAACUAAACUAUCAACAUACUAAAUCACUUUGAUUAGAAAACUUCCAUUAAUGAUUUAAUUUAAAAUUCUUAAUUUUGUAUCACUUUUCCAAAAAUAUGUGUUAAUUAAAUUAAAUUAUUUGAAUGAGAUAGUCUUAAGUACAAAUAAAACUAUAAUAAAAAUGUAUUAUAUUAAAUAAGGAUAAUUAAACACACACACACACACAUAUAUAUAUAUAUAUAUAUAUAUAUAUAUAUAUUAUUCAGAAAUUAAAAUUUGAUAACAUACAAGAGUAAAUAUAGUAAAACCUCUAUUUAAGAAUGGACUUGGGACCAAACUAUUUAUAUUCUAAUUGAGAGGUUAUUACUAAAUAGAGGUAUUGGUGCAAAAUAUUUUCCGAACAUCCAAAAAUAUCCACUUUAACAAAAAUAUCAAUAAGAACUCUCGAAUAAUUAUUGUUCAAAAAAUAUUUAUGCAAAGUAGUCUUUUAUAGGAAAAUGUGAUCUUUUAUAGGAAAUGUAGUCUUUUAUAGAAAAAUGUAAUCCUUUAUAGGAAAUAUAGUCUUUUAUAGAAAAUUUAAUCUUUUAAAAUUAAUAUUGUCUCUCUCUCUCUCUCAUAUAUAUAUAUAUAUAUAUAUAUAUAUAUAUAUAUAUAUAAAAUUAUUACUAUAUAGAGAUAUAGUUUCUUAAUACGGAACUUAAAAAGUAUAUAACAUAUUACUCCACAAUUUAGAGGUUAUUCUUAUUUAUAACUGACCCAAAUUGCGACCAAAUUUUUUUAUAAUAUUGUAGAGGUUAUUCUUAUAUAGAGUAUUCAUAAAUAGAGUUUUACUGUAUGUAAUUUUAUCUAUUUAGUUAACCCUAUAAAAACUUGAAAGGUACUAACAAUUACGUUAAAAACUAGAAAAAAAAUACUUGUUAUUAUGAUUAUCUAGAAAGGAGGUCAUUAUAUUUUACUCUUAUCUAUAUGUACCAGAGUCGUUUUUAUACAAGUGAGAGAAAUCUUAUAAAAUUAUUAAAUUUUUAUGUGAAAAUGUCAAUUCCCUUUCUAACAAGUCUGUGUGUAUGUUUGAAAAAUAAUUUUUGAAAGUGACAUAUAAUCGUAUUUUCAAUUUUAAAGGAGUAAUUUUUAUAGCCACUUGCCAUGGCAUGGGCAUGCCGCGUCAUUCCCGCCUAAUAAUAAAUAUUUCCUUCCCUACAAGUCAGUGGCUGGCCACACAUACAUUCAACUACAAAAUAAAAUUAAUACGAUCAUCCUAAAAUGUGGAUGUUGGGUCACGAUAUUUUAUCUAUUUGGGCAUAAUGAAUUGAGUUCAUUUAUUUAAUUAGUUUAUUGGGCUUUCAUUAUUGAACCUUGAAAGUCAUUAGACCUAAUCACCAUAUUGUUUCUAUUGAUCUCUAUAAAAUCGGGUCGGUUCAUUAGACUAGCCCAUUAGAUCUUUUUAAUAUCUAUUACUUUGACUUGCAAUGAUGAAAAAGCAUGACAGUUGACUGAGACACCUGCCAUGCAUUAAUGUGGAUGAGAUUAUAGCCGGUCGGCGGCAUAAACAGUGACCAAAGGUAGUGGAUAGACUGCAUGCAGUCGGCAGAACCCACCAGAUCAGGGGGCUGUGUCAGUUAGUAGUAGGUGGCACGGUAAAUCGGACAAGAGAGUAUAACCUAUCAACCGAGGCUUCACAACCAGGUACGUUCACAUUCAUAUACGCAUACACACAACUGAGAAUAUCUCUCUCUCUCAAUACACUAGACAUUACAUCCUCUAUUGUUAACCUUGUGAACACGUAUACUGACUCUUACGCCUGAGCUAUCCCCCGACGGUCGAAGCCGUCAAGCUUGUGGUGUUUAUCGUGUUUACUGUACAGGAUCAGGACGUCUUACGUGAUUGAGACGUGACAGAAGAUCUUGGCAUUAACAGUGGAGAUCCCAACUACGUAUCAAUAUAAUUAGGCCUAAACGGUAAAUAUAACUAUUGGAUAAUAUUAAGGAGGAGUAUUAAAAUUAAGGAGCUAAAUUCUCUACAAUUAAUCUAAAGAUUAUAUUGACCACAUAGAUAUAUGCAUAUUAGUUCAUUCACAUUGUUUUUAUAAAACUACGUACAUGUUUGGUUAAUCUUUAAAUAUUUUAGUCUUUUAUAUACCGCAUUCUUAAAUUAAAUACAAAAUUUUCCUUUUAUCUCAUUCAAAAAAGUACAUUAAUUUUAAAUCUAAAAUAAUAUUAUAUAAUAAUGAAAAUUGUUGUUGUUUCAAAAGGAAAUUUUGGUAAUAUCCACAUGAUCUGGAGCCUAAUUUUUUAUAUAAGUGAGAGAAGUGUUGUAGAACUAUUUAAUUUUUAUGUUGAAAUGUCAAUUCCUUUUUAUCAAGUGUUGGGGGUUGGGGUUGGNNNNNNNNNNNNNNNNNNNNNNNNNNNNNNNNNNNNNNNNNNNNNNNNNNNNNNNNNNNNNNNNNNNNNNNNNNNNNNNNNNNNNNNNNNNNNNNNNNNNAUUAAAUUUGUAUGUUGAAAUGUCAAUUCCUUUUUAUCAAGUGUUGGUUGUAUGUUUGAAAAAAUAAUUUUUGAAAAUGACAUAUAAAUGUAUUUUCAAUUUUAAGGGAGUACUUUUUGUAGACACUUUCCAUGCAUAUGGGCAUGCCGUGUCAUUUUAUCCUUCCCUACAAGUCAUUUCAUUGGCCAGUGGCCGGCCACACAUCCAUUCAAUUACGUACUACUCACCUUCAUCUCGCUUAAUAUAAGGUGUUUUAUAAAAAUAUUUUUAUCCUUUAAUAAAAUAUAUUUUAAGUUAACAUUAAUUACUUAAUUUUUAAUAUCAUCCCAAUUAAGUAUUAAAUAUAAUUUUAGUUAUUUUAUUAUUUUUUAUUUAAUAAAUAACAUUUAUUUUUUUAAUAAAAAAAUAAUAUAGACAUCUAAUAUUAUAUUUAAUACUAUACAAUUAUUUUAUUAAUACUUAUGCACAACUUUAAAACAUCUUAAUUGGUGUUGUCUAUUCACUAUACGAAAUUUCGUCGGCAUAUAUUAAAAGACGAGGGGAGGGAGUAUAAAAUAAGGAUUCGGUUAACAUGAAUUUAUUUAUUUGGUAAGUUGGUCAAUUGGCCAAUAGAAUACUGACACACAUACAACCUCGUUUGCGUGUCAGUAUUCUAUUGAUUAAUUGACCAACUUACCCCAAAAUAAACUUCAUACUAACCACUUCUAUAAAAUAAAAUUACUAAUACGAUUGCUUGUCAAAUAAAAUAUCCUAAAACGUGGAGAUCCCAACAACCAAUAAAAUUAGACCUAGACCUGGUAAUUAACUGUCAAAUCUAACCAGAAUCAGGUGAGUUUGUUAAUUGCUUUAUAAGUAUUAUUUAGGUCACUCGUAUUUUUUUUUUCAUCCCGGAUUUAUUAUUUAUUCAUAAUCAAAAUUUAAACCCAGAUUAAUUAAAAUCACUACAUCGAUCUCUGCAACUCCCCCCAUGGAUGCUGCUCCAGUUGUAACCUCAAAUUAUUACAUUCUCAAUACUACAUGCAAUCUUCUCUCUUUCUCUCUCUCCUCUGAUCUCUAAAAUAUAAAUAUUAAUAUUAAUAUAAUUAACAAGUCUCCACACAUACAAAAACAUAUCCUUUAUAUCUUUUUAUAUAUAUAUAUAUAUAUUGCUAUUUUGUUACAUAUACUAGUCCAUUGGUCAAAUAUUUUAUGAUACAGACCACAAAAAAAAAUAUAAUUGCAAAGUUUGCUUGAAUAAUUAUGCAAAUCACGCUAAUAUUUAAAACUUUUGGUAGUCUGUCAUCUUUUUCAAAUUACUUACCUAUUAAGUCGGGUCAAGUAGUGCAUGAAUACUUAAUUUUUAGUUAAUUUUAUACAAAAAAAUACAUGUCAGAAAUAGUCUGCCACAUUUUGUCAAAAAAAGAGAAGAAAUAGUCUACCAUACGAUCAGUUUCAUGCGGUAACUAGAAAGUUUAGAGAGAGAAAGUGUAUAAAAAACUUUUAGAGCCGUAGUAUAUAUAUAAAAAAAAAUUAGAGAGAGAAAAUGUAUAUAAAAUAUUUAGAAAGAGCAAGUAUAUGAAAAAAAUCAGACUGUAUAAAUGGCUUAGAAAUACAAUGUAUUAGAAAAAUUGAAGAGAGAAAUUAAAUAAACAAAAGGUUAAUAAAUAAAUAUAUAACAUAUAUAGAAAUUGAAAUAUAGGUGGAUCUAUAUUAAACUCAUAAUUAUUUGAUUUAUUUAUAUAUAUUGACCUAUAUUUAUUAGUUAUAUAUAUAUAUAUAUAACUAAUUUAUACAUUUAAAAAUUAUACUUGCAUAAAUUUAAAAAUAUACACUAAAAUAAAUUAACAAAUUAUACUUAAGUUUAACAAAUUUAAACUUAAAAUAAAAAAUGUGAAGGAAAAUUUGUGAUUUUGUUAGGAGAAAGAAAGAAAGAAAGAAAGAAAAAGAAAAUUGAUAUUUUCACAAGCAAAAAUAAUAGUUUCAAAAGUUUUCUCUCGGACAUGCAUAAUAAAUGGACUUCACGUAUAUUUAUGUGAAUAAGAGUUUGUAGAAAUAUCAAAUUUUAUUUUUAAAAAUAUUAAACGUCUAUAUAAGUUUGCGCGGGUAUCCCAUUUUCAUAUAAAAUGAGAAAUUUGAAGGAUUUAUCGGAUCUUAGGUGGUACUCAAGGAUUCCACAUCAAUAUAUAUAUUGACAUAUAUAUAUAUAUAUAUAAAUAAUUUAUACGUUUAAGAAUUAUACUUGCAUAAAUUUAAAAAUAUACACUAAAAUAAAUUAACAAAUUAUACUUAAGUUUAACAAAUUUAAACUUAAAAUAAAAAACGUGAAGGAAAAUUCGUGAUUUUGUUAGGAGAAAAAAAAAGAAAAAAAAAAGAAAGAAAGAAAGAAAAAGGGAAUUGAUAUUUUCAAAGCAAAAAUGAUACUUUCACAAGUUUUCUCACAUGAAUAGUGAAUAGACCGCACGUACAUCCAUGUGAAUGAGAGUUUGUACGUAAAAAUAUCAAAUUUUACUUGUAAAAAUAUUAAACGUCUGAAUAGGUUUGCGCGGCUCUCCCAUUUUCAUAUAAAAUGAGAAAUGAAUUGAAGGAUUUAUCGGAUCUUAGGUGGUCCUGUAAUCUUCUUCAUAAGAGUGAUCACAGUGAGAUAUAGUGGGUUUUAGUGUAUUUCUUUUAUUUUAAUUGGCCAAUUGUCCAAAUCGGAAUCGACAUAAAAAUAUCUUCGCACAUAAUAGAAAAGAAAAAUCAAUUGUCUCCACAGAGCGGAUCGGAAAAUAUAUAUCAUACCAACAGGAUCACACUCUUUCCUUUACAAGAAUAGUACGUACUCAAGGAUUCCACAUCAAUAUAUAAUUGGAAUUUGGAGUGAAUUAUCAUAUACUACUAGUACGUACUUAUGAUGCAUGCAUUUCUUUAUACCAUUUGAGGUAGUAAUUGUUCCACCUGUCUUUACUUGUAUUUAUCUGAGAUUAUAUAUAUAUAUAUAUAGCCUAGAUAAAAAGAUAAUAUCACAAAAAAAAUAAAAAAAAAUAAAAACACCUUGAAUUCACAAAAAAAGAACACAAUUAUUUAUAUGUUGCAGUAGACACCGCUGAAAUACAACAAUAUAUGAUACAAGACAACCAAUUAUGCAACGAUUAAUAUCAAUACAACACAAACUAAUCGUUGGUUAAAUUAAUAGAAAUAAAUUCAACUAAAACAACGAUAUAUAGAUCUGUCUUAAUUGUUAUUGGAAAAUUAAAGCAAGAUUGAAAAAUGAAUUAGAAUUUCUGAAAGAAAUCGUAAAUGAUGUUGUUGAUCUCAUGGGGUCUUUCUUCAUUGAUAAAAUGGCCUGCACCUUCUAUUACAAUAACUUCCUCCAGCAAGGGCACAUCAUUCUUCAUUCCACCAUCAUGUAAAUACUCCUUCACACCAACGGUAUGAUAUUGCAAGUCUAUGUCUCCGAUAACAAAUUUUGUUGGUACUAUUACUUUAGCCCCACUCCAGGCUUUAGUAAGCUCCCAAAAUCUGCAUGCAAUUAAUCAAUCAUCAAAAAUUAAUUAAGCAAAAAUAACACAUGAAGACAUAUCCAAAUUACAAAAUGAAUAAUUAUUUAUAACUAACAACGUACGCAAAAUAUAGCUAUCUAUUAAAUAAUUAAGAAUAUUUUCAAAUAAGGUGAGUAGCUAGGUGUAUAUAUAUUUAAUAAUUAUGUACUCACAAAUCCAGGGAGCGAUAAUAAUUCAAUCCUCCGGUGAAGCCAGACUGCUCGAAUUUGGUUGUAUAAUAGUCGAGAUCUUCUUCUGUUAUCCAAGGCGGCAACACAACUGGAGCAUUGCUGUCUCCGAACCCUCCACCACCUUUGGGUAAGAAUAAUACCUCAGGACUAUGGUACGAUAGGAAUCUUCCCAUAGUUGUUCUUGUUCCCAGAGCUGCAAAUUCAGCUUCUAUAUCUCCUGGUUUCUGCAUUAGCAUGCAAGUAUGUAUAUGCAUGUGUAAGUAACUUUCAUUACUAUUGCCUUACUAUAUAUAUAUAUAGAGGGAGUGACCAUAUCAAAUACUUUAAUAUUAUUGGGUAAAUACUUUUCUGGUCAUGCGCAAAAAGAUGGUCCAAAUUCAAAUAAUUUAAUCUUUUUGUUACUAUUAGAUAGUAACCGAAAACAUUCUUUUUAAAUUCAAAAUUUUUAAUCCUUUUGUUACUGUUUAGAUUGUAGCCAAAAACAUUCAUUUUUAAAAAAAAUAUGGACAAAUAUUAUUUUGACAGUGUUAAGAAUGCUAUGAUAUAUUAUUAUCUAAUAAGCUAUUUAUCAGUACGUACCUGAAAUCUAACCAUGUAGUAAUCUUUACCAUAAGUAGCAAGGACAAAGUCAAGAUAACUACCCAAUGGACUCCAAGGAACAAACUGAACGCUAAAGUUAAUCAUGGCUAUGAUUCUGUCUGGCCUGAACAAAGCAAAGUACCAGGCCGUGAAUGCGCCAAAAUCAUGGCCCACCACAAACACCUUCUCCCCC
This 9561-nucleotide long non-coding RNA is filed under the name Panax ginseng (ginseng). RNAcentral's name for it is "long non-coding RNA (PGIN_LNC010430)". The stretch from base 5670 to 5791 matches the Rfam family "MIR6135 microRNA precursor family". Lineage: Eukaryota; Viridiplantae; Streptophyta; Magnoliopsida; Apiales; Araliaceae. The record is from RNAcentral.